GAAUUUUGGACAAUGGGCGAAAGCCUGAUCCAGCAAUGCCGCGUGCAGGAUGAAGGCCUUCGGGUUGUAAACUGCUUUUGUACGGAACGAAAAGUCUCGGGAUAAUACCCUGGGACCAUGACGGUACCGUAAGAAUAAGCACCGGCUAACUCCGUGCCAGCAGCCGCGGUAAUACGUAGGGUGCAAGCGUUAAUCGGAAUUACUGGGCGUAAAGCGUGCGCAGGCGGUUAUAUAAGACAGAUGUGAAAUCCCCGGGCUCAACCUGGGAACUGCAUUUGUGACUGUAUAGCUAGAGUACGGUAGAGGGGGAUGGAAUUCCGCGUGUAGCAGUGAAAUGCGUAGAUAUGCGGAGGAACACCGAUGGCGAAGGCAAUCCCCUGGACCUGUACUGACGCUCAUGCACGAAAGCGUGGGGAGCAAACAGG
Molecule: ribosomal RNA, 425 nt
Filed under: uncultured bacterium
Lineage: Bacteria
Description: bacterial SSU rRNA
Rfam family: Bacterial small subunit ribosomal RNA
Source: RNAcentral